GAUCCGGUGGCCUAGUGGUUAGAGCGUCCGCCUCAGAUGUGGGAGGGAGGUCGUGGGUUCCAUCUCCGGUCGAGUCA
Non-coding RNA from Potamilus streckersoni, 77 nucleotides. Lineage: Eukaryota; Metazoa; Mollusca; Bivalvia; Unionida; Unionidae. The record is from the annotation of a GenBank genome assembly.